Molecule: ribosomal RNA, 717 nt
Filed under: uncultured bacterium
Lineage: Bacteria
Description: bacterial SSU rRNA
Rfam family: Bacterial small subunit ribosomal RNA
Source: RNAcentral
AACAGGAUUAGAUACCCUGGUAGUCCGCACAGUAAACGAUGGAUGCCCGCUGUUGGUACCUGGUAUCAGCGGCUAAGCGAAAGCAUUAAGCAUCCCACCUGGGGAGUACGCCGGCAACGGUGAAACUCAAAGGAAUUGACGGGGGCCCGCACAAGCGGAGGAACAUGUGGUUUAAUUCGAUGAUACGCGAGGAACCUUACCCGGGCUUGAAUUGCAGAGGAAGGAUUUAGAGAUAAUGACGCCCUUCGGGGCCUCUGUGAAGGUGCUGCAUGGUUGUCGUCAACUCGUGCCGUGAGGUGUCGGCUUAAGUGCCAUAACGAGCGCAACCCCUCUCUUCAGUUGCCAUCGGGUAGUGCUGGGCACUCUGGAGACACUGCCACCGUAAGGUGUGAGGAAGGUGGGGAUGACGUCAAAUCAGCACGGCCCUUACGUCCGGGGCUACACACGUGUUACAAUGGCCGGUACAGAGGGAUGGUGUAAUGCAAAUUGCAUCAAAUCUUGAAAGCCGGUCCCAGUUCGGACUGGGGUCUGCAACCCGACCCCACGAAGCUGGAUUCGCUAGUAAUCGCGCAUCAGCCAUGGCGCGGUGAAUACGUUCCCGGGCCUUGUACACACCGCCCGUCAAGCCAUGAAAGCCGGGGGUGCCUGAAGUCCGUGACCGCAAGGAUCGGCCUAGGGCAAAACUGGUGAUUGGGGCUAAGUCGUAACAAGGUAACC